Molecule: transfer RNA, 74 nt
Filed under: Treponema sp.
Lineage: Bacteria; Pseudomonadati; Spirochaetota; Spirochaetia; Treponematales; Treponemataceae
Also listed under: 2 other names
Description: tRNA-Arg
Rfam family: tRNA
About the family: Transfer RNA (tRNA) molecules are approximately 80 nucleotides in length. Their secondary structure includes four short double-helical elements and three loops (D, anti-codon, and T loops).
Source: RNAcentral
GGCCCAGUAGCUCAGGUGGAUAGAGCGACUGCCUCCUAAGCAGUAGGUCGUGCGUUCGAGUCGCGCCUGGGUCA